UUCUAAUGAACAUGUUCUCCUUUUUUGUUUUUGUUAACAGAAAAGGAACAGUUUUAGUAAUUGGAAAUAUUGUUUGUGUGUUGUAAUUGGACAGCGGCCAGACAACCGUAGAGAUGGUAUCCACAGGUGGUGGGGUUUUUCACUCACUCGUCUACUGAUUCCAUCCCACAUUU
Molecule: non-coding RNA, 173 nt
Organism: Lupinus albus (white lupine)
Lineage: Eukaryota; Viridiplantae; Streptophyta; Magnoliopsida; Fabales; Fabaceae
Source: the annotation of a GenBank genome assembly